RNAcentral lists this ribosomal RNA (492 nucleotides) under uncultured bacterium. Its description in RNAcentral is "partial 16S ribosomal RNA". It matches the Rfam family "Bacterial small subunit ribosomal RNA", at positions 29 to 507 of the family's 1533-position model. The record is from RNAcentral.
AGUGAACGCUGGCGGUAGGCCUAACACAUGCAAGUCGAACGGCAGCACAGUAAGAGCUUGCUCUUACGGGUGGCGAGUGGCGGACGGGUGAGGGAUACAUCGGAAUCUACUUUUUCGUGGGGGCUAACGUAGGGACACUUACGCUAAUACCGCAUACGACCUACGGGUGAAAGCAUGGGAUCUUCGGACCUUGCGCGAUCGAAUGAGCCGAUGUCGGAUUAGCUAGUUGGCGGGGUAAAGGCCCACCAAGGCGACGAUCCGUAGCUGGUCUGAGAGGAUGAUCAGUCACACUGGAACUGAGACACGGUCCAGACUCCUACGGGAGGCAGCAGUGGGGAAUAUUGGACAAUGGGCGCAAGCCUGAUCCAGCCAUGCCGCGUGGGUGAAGAAGGUCUUCGGGUUGUAAAGCCCUUUUGUUGGGGAAGAAAAGCAGCAGGUUAAUACCCCGCUGUUCUGACGGUACCAAAAGAAUAAGCACCGGCUAACUUCGUG